Molecule: transfer RNA, 76 nt
Filed under: Thalassovita sp.
Lineage: Bacteria; Pseudomonadati; Pseudomonadota; Alphaproteobacteria; Rhodobacterales; Roseobacteraceae
Description: tRNA-Gln
Rfam family: tRNA
About the family: Transfer RNA (tRNA) molecules are approximately 80 nucleotides in length. Their secondary structure includes four short double-helical elements and three loops (D, anti-codon, and T loops).
Source: RNAcentral
AGACCCAUGGUGUAACUGGCAACACGUCUGAUUUUGGUUCAGAAGAGUCCAGGUUCGAGCCCUGGUGGGUCUGCAA